This 85-nucleotide transfer RNA is filed under the name bacterium. RNAcentral describes it as "tRNA-Ser". It matches the Rfam family "tRNA". Rfam says of the family: Transfer RNA (tRNA) molecules are approximately 80 nucleotides in length. Their secondary structure includes four short double-helical elements and three loops (D, anti-codon, and T loops). The record is from RNAcentral.
GGAGGGGUGACCGAGUGGCCGAUGGUGCACGCUUGGAAAGCGUGUGUAGGGAAACCUACCGUGGGUUCGAAUCCCACCCUCUCCG